This 450-nucleotide ribosomal RNA is filed under the name uncultured Glomeromycotina. RNAcentral describes it as "SSU rRNA". It matches the Rfam family "Eukaryotic small subunit ribosomal RNA", at positions 569 to 1017 of the family's 1831-position model. Lineage: Eukaryota; Fungi; Glomeromycota. The record is from RNAcentral.
AGCAGCCGCGGUAAUUCCAGCUCCAAUAGCGUAUAUUAAAGUUGUUGCAGUUAAAAAGCUCGUAGUUGAAUUUCGGGAUUGACACAUCGGUCGUGCCUUAAGGGGUAUGAACUGGUGUAGUCAAUUUCUCACCUUCUGGAGAACCGCGAUGCCCUUAAUUGGGUGUCGCGGGGAACCAGGACCUUUACUUUGAAAAAAUUAGAGUGUUUAAAGCAGGCAUUUUGCUUGAAUACAUUAGCAUGGAAUAAUAAAAUAGGACGGCAUGAUUCUAUUUUGUUGGUUUCUAGGAUCACCGUAAUGAUUAAUAGGGAUAGUUGGGGGCAUUAGUAUUCAAUUGUCAGAGGUGAAAUUCUUGGAUUUAUUGAAGACUAACUACUGCGAAAGCAUUUGCCAAGGAUGCUUUCAUUAAUCAAGAACGAAAGUUAGGGGAUCGAAGACGAUCAGAUACCG